Long non-coding RNA from Nerophis ophidion (straightnose pipefish), 2333 nucleotides. RefSeq lists it as uncharacterized. Lineage: Eukaryota; Metazoa; Chordata; Actinopteri; Syngnathiformes; Syngnathidae. The record is from RefSeq and is a predicted model, not a curated record. The transcript is spliced from 4 exons.
GCGAUUUAUGCAAAAGAAGCCCAUUUUUCCACGCUGAUUUGCUUUUGUCCAACACAUCUGCGGAGUGUGUACGGUGGACAGGCCCUCGGGAGGUGAUCUUGUGAACACUUGCUGAGGAUCCUUGAUGCCGAGUGCAGGAUGUUUCCUACCAGUUUGAAGCCAUGUCUGAAGGGUUCCGAGGUGGAAUGUUCUGCGCUGGCCGAUGGCGGCGUCGGGGGGGGGGGGGGGCACUGCACCGCAUGCCCAUGGUGACGAGGAAACAGCUGACGCAGGCAACAACGGCAUAGACCAACAUCUGAAGGAUGACAGGGAAAAAAAGCUCCAUCCCCCUGGAAAAGAAGGAAAGAAGGGAAGAAUAAUGUGGAUUUAUUGAGGAGAAAGAGAAGUAAAUAUUUGGUGGCGUUUAAGAAGUGUUUGUGUUCCACCUGCAUGACAAGAUGAGGACUUUUUUUAAGGCAGCACUUCCAACAAGAAGAAGAAGAUGAGGACAUGUUUGAGGCAGCACUUCCAACAAGAAGAAGAUGAGGACAUGUUUGAGGCAGCACUUCCAACAAGAAGAAGAAGAUGAGGACAUGUUUGAGGCAGCACUUCCAACAAGAAGAAGAUGAGGACAUGUUUGAGGCAGCACUUCCAACAAGAAGAAGAUGAGGACAUGUUUGAGGCAGCACUUCCAACAAGAAGAAGAUGAGGACAUGUUUGAGGCAGCACUUCCAACAAGAAGAAGAUGAGGACAUGUUUGAGGCAGCACUUCCAACAAGAAGAAGAUGAGGACAUGUUUGAGGCAGCACUUCCAACAAGAAGAAGAUGAGGACAUGUUUGAGGCAGCACUUCCAACAAGAAGAAGAUGAGGACAUGUUUGAGGCAGCACUUCCAACAAGAAGAAGAUGAGGACAUGUUUGAGGCAGCACUUCCAACAAGAAGAAGAAGAUGAGGACAUGUUUGAGGCAGCACUUCCAACAAGAAGAAGAUGAGGACAUGUUUGAGGCAGCACUUCCAACAAGAAGAAGAUGAGGACAUGUUUGAGGCAGCACUUCCAACAAGAAGAAGAUGAGGACAUGUUUGAGGCAGCACUUCCAACAAGAAGAAGAUGAGGACAUGUUUGAGGCAGCACUUCCAACAAGAAGAAGAUGAGGACAUGUUUGAGGCAGCACUUCCAACAAGAAGAAGAUGAGGACAUGUUUGAGGCAGCACUUCCAACAAGAAGAAGAUGAGGACAUGUUUGAGGCAGCACUUCCAACAAGAAGAAGAAGAUGAGGACAUGUUUGAGGCAGCACUUCCAACAAGAAGAAGAUGAGGACAUGUUUGAGGCAGCACUUCCAACAAGAAGAAGAUGAGGACAUGUUUGAGGCAGCACUUCCAACAAGAAGAAGAUGAGGACAUGUUUGAGGCAGCACUUCCAACAAGAAGAAGAAGAUGAGGACAUGUUUGAGGCAGCACUUCCAACAAGAAGAAGAAGAUGAGGACAUGUUUGAGGCAGCACUUCCAACAAGAAGAAGAUGAGGACAUGUUUGAGGCAGCACUUCCAACAAGAAGAAGAUGAGGACAUGUUUGAGGCAGCACUUCCAACAAGAAGAAGAUGAGGACAUGUUUGAGGCAGCACUUCCAACAAGAAGAAGAUGAGGACAUGUUUGAGGCAGCACUUCCAACAAGAAGAAGAUGAGGACAUGUUUGAGGCAGCACUUCCAACAAGAAGAAGAAGAUGAGGACAUGUUUGAGGCAGCACUUCCAACAAGAAGAAGAUGAGGACAUGUUUGAGGCAGCACUUCCAACAAGAAGAAGAUGAGGACAUGUUUGAGGCAGCACUUCCAACAAGAAGAAGAAGAUGAGGACAUGUUUGAGGCAGCACUUCCAACAAGAAGAAGAUGAGGACAUGUUUGAGGCAGCACUUCCAACAACAAGAAGAAGAUGAGGACAUGUUUGAGGCAGCACUUCCAACAAGAAGAAGAUGAGGACAUGUUUGAGGCAGCACUUCCAACAACAAGAAGAAGAUGAGGACAUGUUUGAGGCAGCACUUCCAACAAGAAGAAGAAGAUGAGGACAUGUUUGAGGCAGCACUUCCAACAAGAAGAAGGACUAGAAGUGACGUCAUACCUGAGGUGAGUGCAAACUGUGAAAGAGGUGACUUGUCUUAAAGCGACAGUACACCCGUUUAAAUGAGUGACAUGCAAUGAAAGAUGUCUCGGAGACAAGAAGAAGGACAACUAGUCUUAAAGGAAUAAUAUUCAUGGCUGAAAAACUGCAAAAGAAGAGACAAAAUAAUCUAAAUGUUGAAUAAAUCUGAACACAUUUAAAUAAUGAGUUACAUGUGUCAUUAAUUAUUGUUAUUAAAUAAA